RNAcentral lists this ribosomal RNA (497 nucleotides) under uncultured bacterium. RNAcentral describes it as "partial 16S ribosomal RNA". It matches the Rfam family "Bacterial small subunit ribosomal RNA", at positions 28 to 507 of the family's 1533-position model. The record is from RNAcentral.
GAUGAACGCUGGCGGCGUGCCUAAUACAUGCAAGUCGAGCGAACAGACGAGGAGCUUGCUCCUCUGACGUUAGCGGCGGACGGGUGAGUAACACGUGGAUAACCUACCUAUAAGACUGGGAUAACUUCGGGAAACCGGAGCUAAUACCGGAUAAUAUAUUGAACCGCAUGGUUCAAUAGUGAAAGACGGUUUUGCUGUCACUUAUAGAUGGAUCCGCGCCGCAUUAGCUAGUUGGUAAGGUAACGGCUUACCAAGGCAACGAUGCGUAGCCGACCUGAGAGGGUGAUCGGCCACACUGGAACUGAGCCACGGUCCAGACUCCUACGGGAGGCAGCAGUAGGGAAUCUUCCGCAAUGGGCGAAAGCUUGACGGAGCAACGCCGCGUGAGUGAUGAAGGUCUUCGGAUCGUAAAACUCUGUUAUUAGGGAAGAACAAAUGUGUAAGUAAAUAUGCACGUCUUGACGGUAACUAAUCAGAAAGCAACGGCUAACUACGUG